Molecule: transfer RNA, 75 nt
Filed under: Prochlorococcus marinus str. MIT 9303
Lineage: Bacteria; Bacillati; Cyanobacteriota; Cyanophyceae; Synechococcales; Prochlorococcaceae
Also listed under: 2 other names
Description: tRNA-Thr
Rfam family: tRNA
About the family: Transfer RNA (tRNA) molecules are approximately 80 nucleotides in length. Their secondary structure includes four short double-helical elements and three loops (D, anti-codon, and T loops).
Source: RNAcentral
GCCGGUGUAGCUCAGGGGUAGAGCAACUGAUUCGUAAUCAGUAGGUCGCAGGUUCAAUUCCCGUCACCGGCAUCA